UCCCUGCGGGGGAAAGAUUUAUCGCUAUUAGAUGAGCCUACGUUAGAUUAGCUAGUUGGUAAGGUAAUGGCUUACCAAGGCUGUGAUCUAUAGCUGGUCUGAGAGGACGAUCAGCCACACUGGAACUGAGAUACGGUCCAGACUCCUACGGGAGGCAGCAGUGGGGAAUAUUGGACAAUGGGCGAAAGCCUGAUCCAGCUAUGCCGCGUGAGUGAAGAAGGCCUUCGGGUUGUAAAACUCUUUCAAUAGGGAAGAUAAUGACGGUACCUAUAGAAGAAGUCCCGGCAAACUCCGUGCCAGCAGCCGCGGUAAUACGGAGGGGGCAAGCGUUGUUCGGAAUUAUUGGGCGUAAAGGGCACGUAGGUGGACUGGUAAGUUAAAAGUGAAAUACCAAAGCUCAACUUUGGAGCUGCUUUUAAUACUGCCAGACUAGAGGUCGAAAGAGGAUAGCGGAAUUCCUAGUGUAGAGGUGAAAUUCGUAGAUAUUAGGAGGAACACCAGUGGCGAAGGCGGCUAUCUGGUUCGAUAC
Molecule: ribosomal RNA, 529 nt
Filed under: Ehrlichia sp.
Lineage: Bacteria; Pseudomonadati; Pseudomonadota; Alphaproteobacteria; Rickettsiales; Anaplasmataceae
Description: bacterial SSU rRNA
Rfam family: Bacterial small subunit ribosomal RNA
Source: RNAcentral